RNAcentral lists this transfer RNA (70 nucleotides) under Podarcis lilfordi (Lilford's wall lizard). RNAcentral's name for it is "tRNA.Ile". The stretch from base 4 to 62 matches the Rfam family "tRNA", at positions 8 to 63 of the family's 71-position model. From Rfam's summary of the family: Transfer RNA (tRNA) molecules are approximately 80 nucleotides in length. Their secondary structure includes four short double-helical elements and three loops (D, anti-codon, and T loops). Further hydrogen bonds mediate the characteristic L-shaped molecular structure. tRNAs have two regions of fundamental functional importance: the anti-codon, which is responsible for specific mRNA codon recognition, and the 3' end, to which the tRNAs corresponding amino acid is attached (by aminoacyl-tRNA synthetases). tRNAs cope with the degeneracy of the genetic code in two manners: having more than one tRNA (with a specific anti-codon) for a particular amino acid; and 'wobble' base-pairing, i.e. permitting non-standard base-pairing at the 3rd anti-codon position. Lineage: Eukaryota; Metazoa; Chordata; Lepidosauria; Squamata; Lacertidae. The record is from RNAcentral.
GGAUAGCUCAGUGGGCUAGAGCGUGGUGCUGAUAAUGCAACGGUUGCAGGUUCGAUCCCUGUAUGGGACA